GAUGAACGCUGGCGGCGUGCCUAAUACAUGCAAGUCGAGCGAACGGACGAGAAGCUUGCUUCCCUGAUGUUAGCGGCGGACGGGUGAGUAAAACGUGGAUAACCUACCUAUAAGACUGGGAUAACUUCGGGAAACCGGAGCUAAUACCGGAUAAUAUUUUGAACCGCAUGGUUCAAAAGUGAAAGACGGUCUUGCUGUCACUUAUAGAUGGAUCCGCGCUGCAUUAGCUAGUUGGUAAGGUAACGGCUUACCAAGGCAACGAUGCAUAGCCGACCUGAGAGGGUGAUCGGCCACACUGGAACUGAGACACGGUCCAGACUCCUACGGGAGGCAGCAGUAGGGAAUCUUCCGCAAUGGGCGAAAGCCUGACGGAGCAACGCCGCGUGAGUGAUGAAGGUCUUCGGAUCGUAAAACUCUGUUAUUAGGGAAGAACAUAUGUGUAAGUAACUGUGCACAUCUUGACGGUACCUAAUCAGAAAGCCACGGCUAACUACGUG
This 497-nucleotide ribosomal RNA is filed under the name uncultured bacterium. RNAcentral's name for it is "partial 16S ribosomal RNA". It matches the Rfam family "Bacterial small subunit ribosomal RNA", at positions 28 to 507 of the family's 1533-position model. The record is from RNAcentral.